This 1028-nucleotide long non-coding RNA is filed under the name Daucus carota (carrot). RNAcentral describes it as "long non-coding RNA (DCAR_LNC005269)". The record is from RNAcentral. Lineage: Eukaryota; Viridiplantae; Streptophyta; Magnoliopsida; Apiales; Apiaceae.
GGCUCUCCAGAUAGCACUUCUUCUGUCAAUUGGAUGGGUGCUUCUUUGAUUGAACUAAAGCCUCAACCUCUAACAUGGCACAAGGUAUGAAAAUGUGUUCGCCUGAAAGAAAAAUGCGAACUUGGUUAUUCAGACAAAACCUACUGUUGGAUAGUUUGGUAUUAACAUAGUUGAAUUUUGCAGGCUGAGUUCGAUGCUCCAGAAGGAGAUGAACCAUUGGCACUGGACCUGCAAUCUAUGGGAAAAGGUCAAGUAUGGAUUAAUGGUCAAAGUAUUGGAAGAUAUUGGACUGCAUACGCAGCUGGUAAUUGCAAUGAAUGCAAUUAUGCUGGCGCUUUUCGUCCUCCUAAGUGUCAGCAAGGUUGCGGUCAACCAACACAACGAUGGUAACCCCCUCAUAUUCUGCUCUUUGUUUUACUCUUCUGAGAGGAUUCUUAAAGAACAAAAUGGAAGAGUACAGGUUUCAUUCCGGGGAUCUAAAAUGUUAAAUUUCAGGUAUCAUGUACCUAGAUCCUGGUUAAAGCCAAGACAGAAUUCAUUGGUACUUUUUGAAGAACUGGGGGGUAAUCCCGCUGGAAUUGCAAUAGUGAAAAGAUCAGUGUCCAGCAUCUGUGCUGAUGUCACUGAGUUUCAUCCCUACAUUAAAAAUUGGCAAAUCGAGAGCUAUGGCAAAGCAGAGGAUUUUCACAAACCAAAAGUUCACCUUCGUUGUGGUGCUGGUCAGUCAAUUACUUCCAUCAAAUUUGCAAGCUUCGGAACACCAACAGGAACUUGUGGAAACUUCCAUCAAGGAACUUGCCAUGCUUAUACCUCCUACGCCAUUUUAGAGAAGGUAUAAAAAAAUUUCAUAUUAAUCAACCAAACAGUCCUUCGUGUGUUCUCAUUAUAUCGUGAUAAAUUUUUAUUGGCAUCUCAUUACCUUUAUAAUCCUCUCUCAGAUGUGCCUAGGAAAGGAGAGAUGUGCAGUGCCAAUAUCAGAUACCGUCUUUGGACUAGAUCCAUGUCCAAAUGUGUUAAAGAGGUUAUCC